Long non-coding RNA from Monodelphis domestica (gray short-tailed opossum), 3493 nucleotides. RefSeq lists it as uncharacterized. Lineage: Eukaryota; Metazoa; Chordata; Mammalia; Didelphimorphia; Didelphidae. The record is from RefSeq and is a predicted model, not a curated record.
AGAGGGCGUGGCCCAGACGCUUAUACCAAGUGCUGCCAGCCCCUAGGCUGGGCCGCUUCCCUUUCCCUUCAUUUUUCCUCUAGUAUUACUUAGUCCCUGGCCGGGUCCCGAGCUAAAAGAGAGUCAGAAAGAGUCGGGAAAAGGCAGGUGGUGAAAAACGUGAUUUUUCAAGAAAAAGGCACCGGGAGGGUAGCUCGGGGAGUCCAAAGCUAGCCCGGAGGACUCUCUUGUUACAUAGGGAAAAAAUGAAGACCUGGGGGUUCUGGUGGCGUGACCCAGGUUCCCCGGGGGUAAAUGCAAGAGCCCUGAGGAGAGCCGAACCAGAGCCUGGGUAAGGGCUUCCUGUCCGCGAUGGACCAGAGUAUCAGCUGCAGGCUUGUUCGAUACAGAAAUGAGGAACUCCUGGUCCGUUUUCAUGGAGGCCUGGGAGCUGACUUUGAACAUCGGGAAGAAGAUGCGUCUGACGGAGUUAAGCGAGUGGGCGGAGCUGAAGGAUUGCUAGAUACUCCAGAAGAACCAAGUCUGAAAAUGAAUACAAGAAGCAAGAAAAAGCACCAAUAAGGGAAAGAUGAAAGAAAUAAGUACCGAGAACGAAAGAGAGAAAUUCCAACUCUUAAGGCACAGGAACUCUCAUCCUGAGGAGACUCACACAGCUGCUGCUUCAGGAGUGCCAUGACAAGGAGCAGAAACUACAGGAGCUCCGAGACCAUGGAUGGAAACCUAUUAAGAACAAGGACAAUCUACAGAGCUGUCAUCUUUAUUUGAUCCCAAUCAAAAGACAGGUAGCCAGCCACAAACUUUUGUGCUGCAGGGGGCUGCUGGUACUGGAAAAACCACCCUAGCAGCAAGUUGAUAAUGGAUUGGGCAGAGGGAAGACUGUACCAGAACAGAUUCUACUGUGAUUUUAUGCCUCAAUUGUAGAGAACUGAACCCAUUAGAAGGCAGAGAAAACCAGUUUUUCUAAAUUGAGUGCCAAAGCUUGGCCUGCCCCAUGGGCUCCCAUGACAGAGAUCAUGUCCCAGCCAGAGACUCUUGUUCAUCACUGAUGAUUUAGAUGAACUGAAAUUCCCUUGUAAAGCACAGAUAUGAUCUCUGUAAAGACUGGAAGUUACAGAAGCCAGUGCCCAUCCUAAGGAAAACCAGGGCCCCUGAAGCUUCUGUGCUGCUCACUCUAAGACUCAUUGCUCUGGAGAAAUUUAGUCCUUUCUUAGAAAAUUCAUGUCAUGUACAGAUUCUGGGCUUCUCUGUGAAGCAUAGGAAGGAGUAUUUCUGAAAAAGUCUUUAGUAAAAGGCAAUGGCACACUAUUCACCAUGUGUUCUGUUCCCCUAAUGAACUGGAUUGUCUGUCCUUGCCUGAAAUAAGAGAUGGAGAAAGGACUAGAUCCCAUUCAGUCUUUGAAAACCAGACUGUCCUAUUCUAUGUGUUAUCUUUCCAAUUUAAUGACAACUGAUGACAAGAUUUUUGUACCUCAGCACUUAGAGGGGCCUUUGUCAUUUGGCUAUUUGAGGGAAUCUGGAGGAGGAAACUGCUAUUUGAGAGGGAUCUAAAUAGGUUAUGCUCAGAACUGUUAUGCCUGGACCUGAAUCCAGGAAGACCUAAAUUGUAAUCUGGCCUCAGACAUUUAGUAACCCUAACCCUAACCCUAUUUGAAAACCUGAUCAGUGGGAUCCUUGAUCAACUUUCCUAAGGACUUGAGUCCCUGAAUGGGUUCUUCAAUCAGUCUAUCAUUAGACCUGAGGCCCUUAGCAAGGAAAACUUAUUUUGUCAUAUCCCUUAAAGGAGUACCCUGCAUACUGCUGCUCCAACUUCCCAACCCCAGUAUACACCAGAUAGUGUGGAUUUAUAACCCUGGCUCCAACCUGUUCUGGGAGCCCUGAGGAGUUAAUUUGAAAUACAGAGAAUGAUAAUCUGAGACUGAUAAUCUGAGACUCAUGGCGCUCCAGGAGUCUCCAGAGAGAACCUGGCCCAACCCAUCCUUUAGUCUAGACUGACUGAUUCCAUUGGUAACUUAGCUUAGAGAAAAAAAAGAGGAAGUGUCACAUAGUAUUGUGAGAUUUAAAAUGGUUGAAGUCUUAAACUGUAGUGAUUAAAAUAGUGGAAGAUAUAAAUUAUGAUAGAUAUAAGAGAGGGUGAGUAAAUUUGACUGCAGAAAUAUGUUUCACUACAGUGUCUUGGUUUUUAAAAUCAAAUAUAAGGUGGUCGCCAGGGAAAUAUUCCCAAUUAUUCAAAUACCCAAGUCAAUUGGGUUUUAUAGAGAUUUUAAUUAACAAUACAAUGAGUAAUCAAAGAAAGAGAGAGAGAGAGUAAGAAAGGAAUAAGUAUGAAGGGCCUCAAGCCAAUAUGGCCUAGACCUGAGUCUUAAAAAGAGAUUUCAGUCAGUUUUUUAUAACUCACCAUAAGAUCUGUCUAAGUAAGGAUUUCUAAUGACACCAGGCCAGCAGCAUCUCAGCUGCUUUCACCAGCUCCCUCCUCCAUCUGAAUGUUUCAGAAUCAGUCUCCCUAGAAUGAGUCUCUCCAAUCUGAAUGUUUCAGAAUGACUCCUCCAGCUCUUCCCUGAGCUCUUAUUUUUAAGGGCAAAAUCUUCUCUGUCACCUCCCCUAAGUCCUUACAUCUACCAAUCACUGUAGAUGUUUCUAAAGGACCGCCCAUUCUUAGUCCACACCUAAGAAGGUGUGGAUUUUUGAGUAAUUCACACCAGGAAAGCUCUGAGUAAGUUUAACAGUUCUUUGUUCCUUGUAAAUUCACAAGUUGCUUGACCUUUAUAGGUACUUAGCUUAAGAAAAGUAUGGGUUUAAGUACUUUUCAUUGUUCAGAAAAAGAGUUUACAACUUUAUCUUCCCCUAGGGCAGACCCAAGUAGGUAAAGCAGAAUUCUCACAUUCCUGCUUUAAGUAGAGUUCACUGCCCAAAUGGGGAAUGGUCUUAAUCCAAUCUUAUAAAGUAGGGUCUGGGAAAUUUUAAGGUUUACAGUAUCCAAUCCCCAACAGCUGAACAUUGGUUCCUUCUCUUUCAAAGUCCCCCUCGCUAUUACAAUAGGCAAGCUGACAUCACACUAUGGAGGUAAUCCUGCAUCCCUGAGGGGUUGUGACACUAGAACAAAAGUUCCACUGGGUAAGAGCAAACAGGAAAAACUUGUAUUGGAAAGAGUAUGGUCCUGGCAACAGAUUGUAUCUGCUGUCUAAGAACCAAUCUAGCAAAAUAUGAUCCUAGUAACAUAUGUUAACUGAGAACAAAAUAAUCUAAACUAAUCAAAUUAAAAACUGAACGGAACAAGGAGAAACAGACCUAAUAUUAAAUUGUUAAAGAAGCUGUGAAUUUUUCUUUUUUAGAAAAGUAAAGUUGUUCAAAUUCAUUAUCCAAGAGAUCCUGUUACUAAGGAUAGGCCCUAAGGGCAUUAUUGGAAAGGUGAAAAGCUGUGUUUGUAUUAAAAUAUUCAGGAAAACUGUUUAUUACAAUAAAAAUGAAAUAAAAUAUAUGCAAUGAAUGAGAGAAA